AACGAACGCUGGCGGCAUGCCUAACACAUGCAAGUCGAACGAUUGCCUUCGGGUGAUAGUGGCGCACGGGUGCGUAACGCGUGGGAAUCUGCCCUUAGGUUCGGAAUAACAGCUGGAAACGGCUGCUAAUACCGGAUGAUAUCGCGAGAUCAAAGAUUUAUCGCCUGAGGAUGAGCCCGCGUUGGAUUAGGUAGUUGGUGGGGUAAAGGCCUACCAAGCCGACGAUCCAUAGCUGGUCUGAGAGGAUGAUCAGCCACACUGGGACUGAGACACGGCCCAGACUCCUGCGGGAGGCAGCAGUGGGGAAUAUUGGACAAUGGGCGCAAGCCUGAUCCAGCAAUGCCGCGUGAGUGAUGAAGGCCCUAGGGUUGUAAAGCUCUUUUACCCGGGAAGAUAAUGACUGUACCGGGAGAAUAAGCCCCGGCUAACUCCGUG
This 435-nucleotide ribosomal RNA is filed under the name uncultured bacterium. RNAcentral's name for it is "partial 16S ribosomal RNA". It matches the Rfam family "Bacterial small subunit ribosomal RNA", at positions 29 to 507 of the family's 1533-position model. The record is from RNAcentral.